UCCCAGACUGACUCCAAUAUCGGGUCUGGUGCCGAUACUACAUCAGACCGCUUCCAUAACUAGAACCCCGUCAUGGAAAGUGCAUGUGUCCUUCUCGACAGUUCCCUCAUAAAACAAUUUGAUGAUACGUCACCUUCACCCUUUUAAAUACCUUAAUGAAGUAUUUCUACUGCCAAUGCCACCUCUUAAUGUAAUUGUAUUUUUUUAUUUGCUUCAGCUCAUCCUUUUUUUAACUCUAAGACCCUAAAUUUGCCCUGUAAGUGGUCACAGUGACAGUAAACGAUUGGUUUCACUGGAAGGUUGCUCCACUCCCACAUCUCUUUGUCCUCCUCCUCACUUGUCUCCCAGCAAACUUUACACUGAAGCUGCUCUCAUUACAGCACAGAUUACAGACGCCUAUUGGUCCUCAUUAGUGGCCACUGAUCCUUGGCUCGGCCCAUGUCUUAACAUCUUUUAAUUAUAUUUCUGGAAAUCUAAUCAAUGUUAUAACUCAGAUUAAUCCCUCCCCCCCUCUUGCACUUAUUUUCUCCCCUUUCAUUUCAUGAUGUGCUUGGCUCGAAGGCUCAAAGGCUGUUAUGACGACGGCUCGUCUGAGGCUGCCAGCCUGCCAGAAAGGGGGCAGUGUUGCCAAAGGACAACUUGGUAUGUGAUGGAGAAGCUAGACUGACUACCUUCACAUUGGCAUCCCUGAGCCACAACAGCAGCCCAGAAAAGCAUCCCAACACCAUGAUGCUGCCACCGACAUGCUCCACUGAGGAGAUCGGCGUGUCCAGAGGGCAGGAGAGCCUCCAUAAGAAGACAGGAGAUGGACCCAGACGGCUCUCCAGGGGGAGCAGCACAUCCACGAACAUGCUCGAUGGCAGCUUUAUGGAUUUCAUUCAACUUAAAGAUUUUUUUUCUUGCUAUCAGCAGAGGCCAGACUCUCUUGCUGUUGAGUUUGGAUUUUCAUGGUGUUUGCGACAAGGGGCGAGGUGUAAUAAUCAUGAUAUGGCAGACAUAGGAGGCGCUGUUUUUGGGCUGCAUUAACAACUGGAGUUUAAAGAAAUGAUGCAGAUGAUGGCUUCCUACAGAGACGCAACAACAAACUGUUUCUUUGUCACAACAUUUCCUCCAGCCUAUUCGGUGGGAAAUUAUCUUAAAUUUAAAGUGUUUCUGAACAUAAAACGAGUGCUGAGUGCUUAUUUUGAACGCAUUUUAAGAAAACCGCUUCUUAAAAAUGGAUGAAUGGAUGGCUCCUCCAUCCAUCCAUCCAUCCUCCAGUCAUUUAUCAGAUGACACUCAGACUCGUGAAAUUAUUUUAUUCUGUCAAAGCACUCCGAACUGAAACUGUAACAAAUUAGAUGAAUUUGAAAUGUCUUCGCUACUUUUCAAAUCUGCUCCUCGCAUUUAUGCAGAAUUAUAUUUCCUCGGGUUGAUAUUUAGCUCUCUGCUAGCCGCCUGCUGUGGUAGAAGAUUUUGUCGGGGCCACAUUUUCCGACCUUUUGAUAUUAAUUUAAUGUGACAUUGGUCUUAAGCAGCUCUGCUCAAGUAUGCUCCCUGCAUGUACACAGCGGGGUUAUUACUGCUUUGAUGCACUUGAAUUUUAGGGACAUAUUACAGGGCGAAAAUGAUGAGAAAAUGACGUAAAAUAAUUACAUUUCUAAGAAAAGGAUUCGACCAGCAUUUAUGUUUACUUUAUAAAUUCUGGUGAAUUAUUUCACAAAUUUCAGCUGGAAUGUGUUCACCCCUGGUGUCUUCGUGUUUGCGCAUCUUGUUAAUCUGAUUUGCUCGAACAAAACAAGCCAUUGAAGGUUACAUGCGAGCGAACGCCGAUGUGUAGACUUUGCGCAGUCUGAAUCCCGCACUGCACGAUUUCCGCUUCCACGCCGGCUGCAGGCGAGCGAAACAAAAGGCUGCAGAUUUCAGCACCACAGAAGGUGGACAGCGCUGCUGGCCGCCUGUGUUGGGAUGGAAGGCUCCUAUUGCUCUAUUGAACACACACACACACACCCCACCACACGCUAGGAGCAUGUAUGCUCAGAUGGAACCAGAACUUCCGCAUAUGCAAUUACUUUAUUGUUUAAAAAAAAAACAAAAAAAAAACACAGGCAGUACAUAAAUUAUAAACUUUAAAAAAAAAAAUACAGUUCAAUGAGUUCAUGGUGUCCGUGAUGUCGUUUCGAAGAGAGGAGGAUCAUCUCUUGGCAUUCACCGCGUGCCUUAAUUGUAAGACAUUAAAUCAAGGUCCGCUGUGAACACGGAGAGACGCAACCCGCUGCUCAGAGAGGUUUGCACAGAAACAUACGAGUGCUGUCUCUCUGUUUCAGGAAAAACAAAGACAACUGGAAGAAACCUCUUUUUGCGCCUGUAACCUUAACAUUCUGCAGCCGCCCUGGCCUGCAGACCGAAAACGAGGGGGGAAAGCUCCUUUUUUCUUCUUCUUUUAGCAAAGAUCUGCCUGUAUUCAUGCAUUUACCUAAGUAGGUGAAGUUACAAGGCAAAUAAGACAUCUUUGAGGGCAAAUUAUUAACCGUCCCAGGCAGCUUUUGCAGAUGAGCAAAGGACUCCGUAUGCAGUGUCCAAAGCAGCAGACAGCAUAGAUGUCCUCCAUUAUUCCAUAAUGUAACCUACGGGGAUGAAGACAAAAAAAAAAAAAAACAAAAUGCGCCAUGAGCCUCAAAAAUUAAGUGCAAGUAUUCCACAUUCACAACUUAGAAACAAGUCCACAAAAAAUGAAAAAGAAAAAAGAAAAGAAAAACUUUCAAAGAAUUCGCUUUUCUGCAUAUUCCUAGAAAAUGCCGCAAAUCUCAAAAUGGGGCAGUAACUGCGGAAUCCUCAUCUUCGCUUUUCUUUUUUUUUCUUACGUGCAAAUGAACGGAGACGCAGAGACCGAACCGUGCGCACUGACACCUGCUAAAUGGGACUGAUCGUCUCCCCGUCCGGUCUCCUCCCCCUCCCCCCCCAAUCUGACUUUGGGAUUAACGAUGCUCCAGCCAAACAAAUGAGGAAUCUGCCUUCAGCAGAAGAGGAUUGGGAUGACGGGCGGAGAGAAGGGGGGGGGGGGGUGGCAGUUGGUGA
Xiphophorus maculatus (southern platyfish) is the source of this 3057-nucleotide RNA transcript. RefSeq lists it as uncharacterized. Lineage: Eukaryota; Metazoa; Chordata; Actinopteri; Cyprinodontiformes; Poeciliidae. The transcript is spliced from 4 exons. The record is from RefSeq and is a predicted model, not a curated record.